AUUGAACGCUGGCGGCAGGCCUAACACAUGCAAGUCGAGCGGAUGAGAGGAGCUUGCUUCUUGAUUCAGCGGUGGACGGGUGAGUAAUGCCUAGGAAUCUGCCUGGUAGUGGGGGACAACGUUUCGAAAGGAACGCUAAUACCGCAUACGUCCUACGGGAGAAAGCAGGGGACCUUCGGGCCUUGCGCUAUCAGAUGAGCCUAGGUCGGAUUAGCUAGUUGGUGAGGUAGUGGCUCACCAAGGCGACGAUCCGUAACUGGUCUGAGAGGAUGAUCAGUCACACUGGAACUGAGACACGGUCCAGACUCCUACGGGAGGCAGCAGUGGGGAAUAUUGGACAAUGGGCGAAAGCCUGAUCCAGCCAUGCCGCGUGUGUGAAGAAGGUCUUCGGAUUGUAAAGCACUUUAAGUUGGGAGGAAGGGUUGUACGUUAAUACCGUGCAAUUUUGACGUUACCGACAGAAUAAGCACCGGCUAACUCUGUGCCAGCCGCCGCCGUAA
This 500-nucleotide ribosomal RNA is filed under the name uncultured bacterium. RNAcentral describes it as "partial 16S ribosomal RNA". It matches the Rfam family "Bacterial small subunit ribosomal RNA", at positions 30 to 523 of the family's 1533-position model. The record is from RNAcentral.